GUGCAUACCCUGCUAACACACGACGUAACAGUUACGUAACGUAUUGGUAAUUUUUGGUAAUUCCGUGACUUACCAAUUGACAACGUAACUACGACGUCGCAUGCCCGUAAUUUUAUUACCAUCACAUUACCAACUCGCAACGUCGUCAGUACGUCCUUCCAACGUGACCAGAUAACCAAGAACGUCCCAGAUAGGUUCUCUAUUCGUAAUAUAUUGGUAACUUCAUGACUUACUGGCAACGUAACUACGACGUCGUUUGCACGUAAUUUCAUUACCAUAACUUUUGUUCUUUAUAUGCUUUCUGAGUAUAGUGAUAUUUAAAAAGUGUAAUUAAACUUCAGACACAAGAUUAAACGUUCCUUAAAGAUAAAAUGUGUUUCUUUUCACCAAGUCAGAAUAUGGACAUGCUUUUAAUAUAUAAUGACGUGACAUACAGCGCGCGCGCUUCCACAGCUGACACACCGCGCGCACAGUAUACUGACAAGAAAGGAAAUACAUUUUUUCUGAGUUGUGAAACUUUCUAUUUCGUAAGGAGUUAUGAACGUGAAAUAAUGACACAGACUGGCUAUACCAUCUCAUCUGCCGCAGAUACUGUAUCAGGAGGACAGCGCGUUUGUUUGAGGCACUUUUCACUUCAACUGUGUCUGACCGGAGAAUUAGCUUUUCUGAGCCUAUUAGCCGUUGAGAGUUACCAUGGCAACCGCGGACACAUCAGCUGCUGGAGAGGAGAGGACGCGUCUGACACUUUCUCUGUUUCUCGUCAGUUAUACCAAAGAAAAGUUCAACAACUGCGACAGAUUGCUUAAGAGCUGGAGGCCGUGGAGAAGCAGAUCCGUGACCUCGUGGAGAAGCAGGCUCAGCUGAGAGAGCGGAGAGCCGUGAUGGAAACAUUCAGGGGUUGAUGCUCAUAAGUCCAGUGUAAGUAUACAGCACGCUGCUAACUCUCCCACCACCUCUACUCUGUGUGGUUCUCUGCACAGGCCCGGUGUACCCAGGACGCAAUCUUCCCAGAUGUCCUUCACCCUGUGCCACAGCGGAAGACAUGAGCCAGGUCCUGGGGGACAACCUCUCUCCCCCCGUCGCCUCCGGUCUUCGGGAACUCCACUGGAAUCCGAUUUCCUCCACUUCACGAGACAGAACACGACUCUGUGUUCGUCGGAGACUCCAUCAUCCGGCAUAUUCGUGCUAUGUUAGCUGGAGGUAAUGUGCACACUCACUGUUUCCCUGGUGCUCGUGUUCUUGAUAUUUCUGCGCAGAUACCCGUGAUCCUGAAGGGUGAAGAGAGCAUCGGAGCGGUCGUGCUUCACGCCGGGGUUAACAACACCAAAGCUGCGGCAGACGCAGACACUAAAGAGGGACUUCAGGAGCCUGAUCGAGAUGGUGUGCAGCAUAUCGCCUGCACGAUGAUCAUCAUCUCAGCACCUUUUCUCAUGUAUAGAUGAGGACACGAAAGGUUCAGUAGAGUUUUUGCUCUAAAUGAAUGGUUAUUGUCAUGGUGUAAAGAACAGAAACUGCUCUUUGUUAAUAAUUGGAAUCUUUUCUGGAAGCGUCCUAGGCUUUUUCGCGCUGAUGGCCUGAACACCAGCAGAGUCGGAGCGGAGCUGCUCUCGGACAACAUCUCCAGGACUCUACGCUCCAUUUGACUAGGGUGUGACGAGACACUUAUCCCAGGAGACGAGACGCGAGACUGGGUUCAUGAGAACGAGAGGAGACGAGAUUUUUAAACUUUUUUUUAAAGAAAUCCUCAAUGAUGAAAUAUAAAGGGAAAAUUUGUCUUUUAUUCAACUGAAAAACACAAAAUGCAAAAAAAUGUAGUAGCAUUUUGAAAUAAAAUUGUACUUUAUGUAAUUAAACCUCUAUUUUAAUACAUUUUAUGCAGGUAUAAACAACAUGUAAACACUGCAAAAGGUUUUGCCACAAACUCAACUGACUAGCAAAUAAUUG
This is a long non-coding RNA of Cyprinus carpio carpio, 1944 nucleotides long. Lineage: Eukaryota; Metazoa; Chordata; Actinopteri; Cypriniformes; Cyprinidae. The record is from Ensembl.